Molecule: ribosomal RNA, 280 nt
Filed under: uncultured prokaryote
Description: partial 16S ribosomal RNA
Rfam family: Bacterial small subunit ribosomal RNA
Source: RNAcentral
UACGUAGGGGCUAGCGUUAUCCGGAAUUACUGGGCGUAAAGGGUGCGUAGGUGGUUUCUUAAGUCAGAGGUGAAAGGCUACGGCUCAACCGUAGUAAGCCUUUGAAACUGGGAAACUUGAGUGCAGGAGAGGAGAGUGGAAUUCCUAGUGUAGCGGUGAAAUGCGUAGAUAUUAGGGGGAACACCAGUUGCGAAGGCGGCUCUCUGGACUGUAACUGACACUGAGGCACGAAAGCGUGGGGAGCAAACAGGAUUAGAUACCCUGGUAGUCCCUGAGCGGG